ACCUCGGAUCAGGUAGGAAUACCCGCUGAACUUAAGCAUAUCAUAA
RNAcentral lists this ribosomal RNA (46 nucleotides) under Apioplagiostoma populi. RNAcentral's name for it is "partial 28S ribosomal RNA". Lineage: Eukaryota; Fungi; Ascomycota; Sordariomycetes; Diaporthales; Gnomoniaceae. The record is from RNAcentral.